This 317-nucleotide ribosomal RNA is filed under the name uncultured bacterium. RNAcentral describes it as "bacterial SSU rRNA". It matches the Rfam family "Bacterial small subunit ribosomal RNA", at positions 28 to 334 of the family's 1533-position model. The record is from RNAcentral.
GAUGAACGCUAGCGGCAGGCUUAACACAUGCAAGUCGGAAGGGGUAACAAGGAAAAAGCUUGUCUUUUUUGCUGACGACCGGCGCACGGGUGCGUAACGCGUAUACAAUCUACCUUUUACUGGAGGAUAGCCCUAAGAAAUUGGGAUUAAUACUGCAUAAUAAGUUUAUAUCACCUGAUUUAAACUUCAAAGCUCCGGCGGUAAGAGAUGGGUAUGCGUCCUAUUAGUUAGUUGGUAAGGUAACGGCUUACCAAGACAUCGAUAGGUAGGGGGCCUGAGAGGGUUAUCCCCCACACUGGUACUGAGACACGGACCAG